ACCUGGUUGAUCCUGCCAGUAGUCAUAUGCUUGUCUCAAAGACUAAGCCAUGCAUGUCUAAGUAUAAAUGUUAUACAGUGAAACUGCGAAUGGCUCAUUAAAACAGUUAUAGUUUAUUUGAUGUUGAAGAUUUACAUGGAUAACCGUGGUAAUUCUAGAGCUAAUACAUGCUUAAAUGCCUUACUUUCGCGGAAUGGCUGUAUUUAUUAGAUAAAAACCUCUACCUCGGGUCUUGUGGUGAGUCAUAAUAACUGAUCGAAUCGCCGGGCACUGCCCGCGAUAAAUCAUUCAAGUUUCUGCCCCAUCAGUUUCGAUGGUAGUGUAUUGGACUACCAUGGCUUUAACGGGUAACGGAGAAUUAGGGUUCGAUUCCGGAGAGGGAGCCUGAGAAACGGCUACCACAUCUAUGGAUGGCAGCAGGCGCGUAAAUUACCCAAUCCUGAUUCAGGGAGGUGGUGACAAGAAAUAACAUACAGACCUUCGGUUUUGUAAUUGUAAUGGGCCUAAUUUAUACCUCUUAGUGAGUAGCAAUUGGAGGGCAAGUCUGGUGCCAGCAGCCGCGGUAAUUCCAGCUCCAAUAGCGUAUAUUAAAGUUGUUGCAGUUAAAAAGCUCGUAGUUGGAUUUCUGAGAGCGUUUCUUUCUCAUUCCACUGGAUUGUACGAUUGACAACUCUCUCAUCCUUCUGUUAACCUAGGCAAGCAUUCAUUUGCUUCUUAGGGGCUCAGUUACUUUACCUUGAGAAAAUUAGAGUGUUUCAAGCAAGCUUGCGCCGGAAUACAUUAGCAUGGAAUAAUAGAAUAGGACAUCCGUCUCGUUAUUGGUAUGAGUUGGAAGUAAUGAUUAAUAGGGACAGUUGGGGGCAUUAGUAUUUAAUUGUCAGAGGUGAAAUUCUUUGAUUUGUUAAAGACUAACUUAUGCGAAAGCAUUUGCCAAGGAUGUUUUCAUUAAUCAAGAACGAAAGUUAGGGGAUCAAAGACGAUCAGAUACCGUCCUAGUCUUAACCAUAAACUAUACCGACUAGGGAUCGGAGGAGAGAUUAUCCUCCUUCAGCACCUUACGAGAAAUCAAAGUCUUGGGGUUCUGGGGGGAGUAUGGUCGCAAGGCUGAAACUUAAA
This 1116-nucleotide ribosomal RNA is filed under the name uncultured Spirotrichea. RNAcentral's name for it is "bacterial SSU rRNA". It matches the Rfam family "Eukaryotic small subunit ribosomal RNA", at positions 1 to 1148 of the family's 1831-position model. The record is from RNAcentral. Lineage: Eukaryota; Ciliophora; Spirotrichea.